GGGGCUAUGGUCUAGUGGUAUGAUUCUCGCUUAGGGCGAUUCGAUCCUAAGAUUCGAUCCUAAGAAGUUCAUCAACGAGCUAUAAUCUGCGAGCGGUCCCGGGUUCGAUUCUCGGUAGCCCCC
RNAcentral lists this transfer RNA (123 nucleotides) under Chloropicon primus. RNAcentral's name for it is "tRNA-Pro". It matches the Rfam family "tRNA". From Rfam's summary of the family: Transfer RNA (tRNA) molecules are approximately 80 nucleotides in length. Their secondary structure includes four short double-helical elements and three loops (D, anti-codon, and T loops). Further hydrogen bonds mediate the characteristic L-shaped molecular structure. tRNAs have two regions of fundamental functional importance: the anti-codon, which is responsible for specific mRNA codon recognition, and the 3' end, to which the tRNAs corresponding amino acid is attached (by aminoacyl-tRNA synthetases). tRNAs cope with the degeneracy of the genetic code in two manners: having more than one tRNA (with a specific anti-codon) for a particular amino acid; and 'wobble' base-pairing, i.e. permitting non-standard base-pairing at the 3rd anti-codon position. The record is from RNAcentral. Lineage: Eukaryota; Viridiplantae; Chlorophyta; Chloropicophyceae; Chloropicales; Chloropicaceae.